This 443-nucleotide ribosomal RNA is filed under the name uncultured eukaryote. RNAcentral describes it as "bacterial SSU rRNA". It matches the Rfam family "Eukaryotic small subunit ribosomal RNA", at positions 1225 to 1658 of the family's 1831-position model. The record is from RNAcentral.
AGGACACAGUAAGGAUUGACAGAUUGAAAGCUCUUUCUUGAUUUUGUGGAUGGUGGUGCAUGGCCGUUUUUAGUUGGUGGAUUGAUUUGUCUGGUUAAUUCCGAAAACGAACGAGACCUUAACCUGUUAACUAUGUGAUGUUAAAAUUCGACUUCGGUCUCAAUAUUUGAUAUUAAAAAUUUAAUACUUCUUAAAGGAACAAUUCAAACUUUAAUUGAAUGGAAGUUUAAGGCAAAAACAGGUCUGUGAUGCCCUUCGAUGUUCUGGGCUGCACGCGCGUUACACUGAUAUGUUCAAUGAGUUUUAAAUUUCCUAGUCUGAAAAGACGUGGUAAACUUAGAAAACAUAUCGUGAUUGGAAUAGUAUUUUGUAAUUAUCGCACUUGAACGAGGAAUUCCUAGUAGGGGCAAUUCAUCAAAUUGCCCCGAUUACGUCCCCGCCCC